AACGAACGCUGGCGGCAGGCCUAACACAUGCAAGUCGAGCGAGCAUUUCGGUGCUAGCGGCGGACGGGUGAGUAACGCGUGGGAACGUGCCCUUUUCUGCGGAAUAGUCCUGGGAAACUGGGGGUAAUACCGCAUACGCCCUUUUGGGGAAAGAUUUAUCGGAGAAGGAUCGGCCCGCGUUGGAUUAGUUAGUUGGUGGGGUAAUGGCCCACCAAGCCGACGAUCCAUAGCUGGUUUGAGAGGAUGAUCAGCCACACUGGGACUGAGACACGGCCCAGACUCCUACGGGAGGCAGCAGUGGGGAAUCUUAGACAAUGGGGGCAACCCUGAUCUAGCCAUGCCGCGUGAGUGAUGAAGGCCUUAGGGUUGUAAAGCUCUUUCAGCUGGGAAGAUAAUGACGGUACCAGCAGAAGAAGCCCCGGCUAACUCCGUG
RNAcentral lists this ribosomal RNA (433 nucleotides) under uncultured bacterium. RNAcentral's name for it is "partial 16S ribosomal RNA". It matches the Rfam family "Bacterial small subunit ribosomal RNA", at positions 29 to 507 of the family's 1533-position model. The record is from RNAcentral.